RNAcentral lists this ribosomal RNA (510 nucleotides) under uncultured bacterium. RNAcentral describes it as "partial 16S ribosomal RNA". It matches the Rfam family "Bacterial small subunit ribosomal RNA", at positions 28 to 507 of the family's 1533-position model. The record is from RNAcentral.
GACGAACGCUGGCGGCGUGCUUAACACAUGCAAGUCGAACGAAGAGCGAUGGAAGCUUGCUUCUAUCAAUCUUAGUGGCGCACGGGUGAGUAACGCGUAAUCAACCUGCCCUUCAGAGGGGGACAACAGUUGGAAACGACUGCUAAUACCGCAUACGAUCUAAUCUCGGCAUCGAGGAUAGAUGAAAGGUGGCCUCUACAUGUAAGCUAUCACUGAAGGAGGGGUUUGCGUCUGAUUAGCUAGUUGGAGUGGUAACGGCCCACCAAGGCGAUGAUCAGUAGCCGGUCUGAGAGGGUGAACGGCCACAUUGGGACUGAGACACGGCCCAGAAUCCUACGGGAGGCAGCAGUGGGGAAUCUUCCGCAAUGGACGAAAGUCUGACGGAGCAACGCCGCGGGAGUGAUGACGGCCUUCGGGUUGGAAAGCUCUGUUAAUCGGGACGAAAGGCCUUCUUGCGAAUAGUGAGAAGGAUUGACGGUACCGGAAUAGAAAGCCACGGCUAACUACGUG